Molecule: microRNA precursor, 99 nt
Filed under: Propithecus coquereli (Coquerel's sifaka)
Lineage: Eukaryota; Metazoa; Chordata; Mammalia; Primates; Indriidae
Description: miRNA (ENSPCOG00000011477.1)
Source: RNAcentral
GAGGUGGGAGGAUCACUUGAGCCCAGGAGUUUGAAGCUGCAGUGAGCUAUGAUUGUACCACUGCACUCCAGCCUGAGUGACAGAGCAAGACCCUGUCUC